Molecule: ribosomal RNA, 292 nt
Filed under: uncultured bacterium
Lineage: Bacteria
Also listed under: 1 other name
Description: partial 16S ribosomal RNA
Source: RNAcentral
GGACUACAGGGGUAUCUAAUCCCGUUCGCUCCCCUGGCUUUCGCGCCUCAGCGUCAGAAGAGGUCCAGCAGGUCGCUUUCGCCACCGGCGUUCCUUCCGAUAUCUACGCAUUUCACCGCUCCACCGGAAGUUCCACCUGCCCCUACCUCACUCAAGACCCCCAGUAUCCAAGGCACGUUUCCGGUUGAGCCGAAAGAUUUCACCCCGGACUUGGGAAUCCGCCUACGCGCCCUUUAAGCCCAGUGAAUCCGAACAACGUUCGCACGGUUCGUCUUACCGCGGCGGCUGGCAC